GAUGAACGCUGGCGGCGUGCCUAAUACAUGCAAGUCGAGCGAACAGACGAGGAGCUUGCUCCUCUGACGUUAGCGGCGGACGGGUGAGUAACACGUGGAUAACCUACCUAUAAGACUGGGAUAACUUCGGGAAACCGGAGCUAAUACCGGAUAAUAUAUUGAACCGCAUGGUUCAAUAGUGAAAGACGGUUUUGCUGUCACUUAUAGAUGGAUCCGCGCCGCAUUAGCUAGUUGGUAAGGUAACGGCUUGCCAAGGCAACGAUGCGUAGCCGACCUGAGAGGGUGAUCGGCCACACUGGAACUGAGACACGGUCCAGACUCCUACGGGAGGCAGCAGUAGGGAAUCUUCCGCAAAGGGCGAAAGCCUGACGGAGCAACGCCGCGUGAGUGAUGAAGGUCUUCGGAUCGUAAAACUCUAUUAUUAGGGAAGAACAAAUGUGUAAGUAACUAUGCACGUCUUGACGGUACCUAAUCAGAAAGCCACGGCUAACUACGUG
RNAcentral lists this ribosomal RNA (497 nucleotides) under uncultured bacterium. RNAcentral's name for it is "partial 16S ribosomal RNA". It matches the Rfam family "Bacterial small subunit ribosomal RNA", at positions 28 to 507 of the family's 1533-position model. The record is from RNAcentral.